This 253-nucleotide ribosomal RNA is filed under the name uncultured bacterium. Its description in RNAcentral is "partial 16S ribosomal RNA". It matches the Rfam family "Bacterial small subunit ribosomal RNA", at positions 524 to 776 of the family's 1533-position model. The record is from RNAcentral.
UACGUAGGGGGCAAGCGUUGUCCGGAUUUAUUGGGCGUAAAGAGCGUGUAGGCGGUUAGGUAGGUCCGUUGUGAAAACUCGAGGCUCAACCUCGAGACGCCGAUGGAAACCAUCUGACUAGAGUCCGGAAGAGGAGAGUGGAAUUCCUGGUGUAGCGGUGAAAUGCGCAGAUAUCAGGAAGAACACCCGUGGCUAAGGCGGCUCUCUGGGCCGUGACUGACGCUGAGGAGCGAAAGCGUGGGUAGCAAACAGG